This 324-nucleotide ribosomal RNA is filed under the name uncultured bacterium. RNAcentral describes it as "bacterial SSU rRNA". It matches the Rfam family "Bacterial small subunit ribosomal RNA", at positions 28 to 334 of the family's 1533-position model. The record is from RNAcentral.
GAUGAACGCUGGCGGCGUGCAUAACACAUUCAAGUCGAACGGAGUUGUUGUUUUAGAUCCCUUCGGGGUGACGGAGCUUCAACUUAGUGGCGGACGGGUGAGUAACGCGUGAGCAACCUGCCCUUGCGUGGGGGAUAACGUUUGGAAACGAACGCUAAUACCGCAUAACGUAUUCUUAUUGCAUGGUUUGAAUACCAAAGAUUUAUUGCGCAAGGAUGGGCUCGCGUCUGAUUAGGUAGUUGGUGGGGUAACGGCCCACAAGCCGACGAUCAGUAGCCGGACUGAGAGGUUGAACGGCCACAUUGGAACUGAGAUACGGUCCAG